AUUGAACGCUGGCGGCAGGCCUAACACAUGCAAGUCGAGCGAGCGGCGGACGGGUGAGUAAUGGAUGGGGACUGCCCGAUAGAGGGGGAUAACUACUGGAAACGGUAGCUAAUACCGCAUACUAUCGGAUAACCCAUAUUGGAUUAGAUAGUUGGUGAGGUAAUGGCUCACCAAGGCUACGAUCCCUAGCUUGUCUGAGAGGAUGAUCAGCCCCACGGGGACUGAGCCACGGCCAAGGCUCCUACGGAGGCAGCAGUGGGGAAUGUUGCCCAAUGGGCGCAAGCCUGAUACAGCCAUGCCGCGUGUAUGACGAAGGCCCUAGGGUUGUAAAGUACUUUCAGUCGGGAGGCGUUACCGACAGAAGAAGCACCGGCUAACUCCGUGCCAGCAGCCGCGGUAAUAC
Molecule: ribosomal RNA, 403 nt
Filed under: uncultured bacterium
Lineage: Bacteria
Description: partial 16S ribosomal RNA
Rfam family: Bacterial small subunit ribosomal RNA
Source: RNAcentral